CCUACGGGAGGCAGCAGUGGGGAAUAUUGGGCAAUGGGCGCAAGCCUGACCCAGCAACGCCGCGUGAAGGAAGAAGGCUUUCGGGUUGUAAACUUCUUUUAAGGGGGAAGAGCAGAAGACGGUACCCCUUGAAUAAGCCACGGCUAACUACGUGCCAGCAGCCGCGGUAAUACGGGGGAUGCGAGCGUUAUCCGGAUUUAUUGGGUUUAAAGGGUGCGCAGGCGGUAUGGUAAGUCAGCGGUAAAAGCCCGGGGCUCAACCCCGGCCCGCCGUUGAAACUGGCAGUCUCGAGUUGGAGAGAAGUAUGCGGAAUGCGCGGUGUAGCGGUGAAAUGCAUAGAUAUCGCGCAGAACUCCGAUUGCGAAGGCAGCAUGCCGGCUCCACACUGACGCUGAGGCACGAAAGCGUGGGUAUCGAACAGGAUUAGAUACCCCUGUAGUC
Molecule: ribosomal RNA, 441 nt
Filed under: uncultured bacterium
Lineage: Bacteria
Description: partial 16S ribosomal RNA
Rfam family: Bacterial small subunit ribosomal RNA
Source: RNAcentral